RNAcentral lists this ribosomal RNA (387 nucleotides) under Choanoflagellata sp. RNAcentral describes it as "partial small subunit ribosomal RNA". It matches the Rfam family "Eukaryotic small subunit ribosomal RNA", at positions 582 to 975 of the family's 1831-position model. Lineage: Eukaryota; Choanoflagellata. The record is from RNAcentral.
AUUCCAGCUCCAAUAGCGUAUAUUAAAGUUGUUGCAGUUAAAAAGCUCGUAGUUGGAUUUCUGUUUCUGGGAUCUGGUCCGCCUCACGGUGAGCACUGGAUAACUGGGGACAUCCUCUCGAAGGCGGCGGGUGCACUUGAUUGUGUGUUUGUUGAAUUCGGGACCUUUACUUUGAAAAAAUUAGAGUGUUCAAAGCAGGCGUCGGCUUGAAUACAUUAGCAUGGAAUAAUGGAAUAGGACUUUGGUUCUAUUUUGUUGGUUUCUAGGACCGAAGUAAUGAUUAAUAGGGACAGUUGGGGGCAUUAGUAUUUAAUUGUCAGAGGUGAAAUUCUUGGAUUUAUGAAAGACUAACUACUGCGGAAGCAUUUGCCAAGGAUGUUUUCAUCA